This 419-nucleotide ribosomal RNA is filed under the name uncultured Gemmatimonas sp. Its description in RNAcentral is "bacterial SSU rRNA". It matches the Rfam family "Bacterial small subunit ribosomal RNA", at positions 355 to 774 of the family's 1533-position model. Lineage: Bacteria; Pseudomonadati; Gemmatimonadota; Gemmatimonadia; Gemmatimonadales; Gemmatimonadaceae. The record is from RNAcentral.
UGGGGAAUCUUGCGCAAUGGCCGAAAGGCUGACGCAGCGACGCCGCGUGGGGGAGGAAGGCCUUCGGGUUGUAAACCCCUGUUGCCCGGGACGAAUGCGUACCAUUGGGUGCGUUGACGGUACCGGGUGAGGAAGCACCGGCUAACUCCGUGCCAGCAGCCGCGGUAAUACGGAGGGUGCAAGCGUUGUCCGGAAUCACUGGGCGUAAAGGGCGCGUAGGCGGCUCAUGAAGGCUGUGGUGAAAGUCCGGGGCUCAACCUCGGAUCGGCCGUGGCGACUCGUGGGCUGGAGCACUGUAGAGGCGGGUGGAAUUCCGGGUGUAGCGGUGGAAUGCGUAGAGAUCCGGAAGAACACCAGUGGCGAAGGCGGCCCGCUGGGCAGUGGCUGACGCUGAAGCGCGACAGCGUGGGGAGCAAACA